GCAAGUGAUAAAGCAAAAUUUGGAAUUAUUAUCAGACAUAAAAGUUUUAAAAAGACAUCACACGUUGACGAUGCAAAACAACUUAUAUAAAAGACCCGAUGGUUUUCCAUUAAAAACGAUUGAAGAAUUUUAAAAUUUAGAAGCUGAUACAGACCGUCUGCAAGAAUUGCUAACAUAUCUUAAAUUUGUCGGUGGCCUAAAAUUAAGAGAAGCUCUCAGCCAUUUUCAAAAAGAAACGAUGACAGAUGAGUUAACGUGCAAAUUUACUUAUUGGGGUCAAACGAAGGAGUCGUUAGCCUUUUAUAAUACACAAAUUGCAAAAAGUGUUUUUUUAUGCGGCAAAAAUGUGUCCAAAUUUUAAAGGGCCUGAAAGUAGGGCUGAAUUCAAAUUGGAAAUUAUGGAGGUUUUUCGAGCUGCCAAACAACGACAACAUUUAAGAAGUAAAAGUAUUGCGGUAAUUGUAGAAGAGGAAGAAAUGUCGGAUUUUUCAUGCAAUAAUAAUUUAUUCAAAGACAUGCCUGAAAUGGACAGUAUUAAGAUUGUGAUGACAAUACUGAAAACUGUAAUGCGUCCUCUGAAAGUGAUUAAUGUUAUAGAAAGAGAGAAAUCGCGGAAGGGAGACAUGUUAAGAUACAUGGAACUUAAUAUUGAGAUUUGUUAGUUGAUUUUUAAUUGAUAAGUUUUGUUUAUUAUUAAAGUUUAUUACUAAAAUU
Molecule: non-coding RNA, 714 nt
Organism: Linepithema humile (Argentine ant)
Lineage: Eukaryota; Metazoa; Arthropoda; Insecta; Hymenoptera; Formicidae
Source: RefSeq, a predicted model, not a curated record